This 103-nucleotide microRNA precursor is filed under the name Marmota monax (woodchuck). The record is from RNAcentral. Lineage: Eukaryota; Metazoa; Chordata; Mammalia; Rodentia; Sciuridae.
AGUGGGAUAGCUGGGCCAAAUGGUGGUUCCAUUUCAAAUUUUUCGAGGAAUCUCCAUACUGCUUUCCAUAGUGGUUGCACCAAUUUGCAUUCCCACCAGCAAU